CCCACGAAAGCAGCAGCGCUCCUCGUCGAAACCGAGCUCGAACAAACAAAAUCCAACCCGCGGCGAAGCGAAUCGCGCGAUGGCGACGGUGGCGAUGGACGUCUCGCAGCCCUCGGCACUGCCGGCGGCCAGCGCCAAGGGGGCGGCGGCGGCGGCAGCGAAGGGGAGUGGCGUGGGAGAGGGGCUGGGGCGGUACUACAAGCAUCACAUCCACGACCUUUGCCUCACGAUCCCGCAUAAGAAAAACGACCUCCGCCGCCAGGAGGCCCAGCGCAACGUCAUCAACUCCCGAGUUAAAUUUCAUCGGGAAGAGUUGAAUCUGCUUCAACAACCGGCUUCGCAUGUUGGUGAGGUUGUGCAGGUGAUGAGCAAGUCAAAGGUUCUAGUGAAGGUGCAUCCAGAAGGCAAAUAUCUUGUAGAUGUUGAUAAAAGUAUAGAUAUUGCAAAGCUAACGCCUUCCCCAAGAGUUGCUCUUCGAAGUGGCAGCUAUAUGCUUCAUGUUAUCCUGCCUAGUAAAGUAGAUCCAUUGGUUAAUCUUAUGAAGGUUGAGAAGGUUCCUGAUUCUACAUAUGAUAUGAUUGGUGGUCUUGAUCAGCAAAUUAAAGAGAUCAAAGAGGUGAUCGAGCUUCCAAUUAAGCAUCCUGAGUUGUUCGAGAGUCUUGGGAUUGCCCAACCAAAGGGUGUCAUUCUCUAUGGCCCUCCAGGUACUGGAAAAACUUUACUUGCACGUGCGGUUGCUCAUCACACAGACUGCACCUUCAUUAGGGUGUCAGGUUCUGAGCUGGUUCAGAAGUACAUUGGAGAGGGUUCCCGGAUGGUGCGCGAACUUUUUGUGAUGGCUAGGGAACAUGCACCAUCCAUUAUAUUUAUGGACGAAAUAGACUCAAUUGGAUCUGCUAGGAUGGGGUCAGCAGGUGGCGGUGGUGACAGUGAGGUUCAGCGAACCAUGCUUGAGCUUCUGAACCAACUUGAUGGUUUUGAAUCAACAAACAAGAUUAAGGUUCUUAUGGCGACAAACAGAAUGGACAUAUUGGAUCAAGCCCUCCUGAGGCCUGGCCGCAUUGACAGGAAGAUUGAAUUUCCAAAUCCGAGUGAAACUGUAAGUGUUGGACUGAGGAUAAAACCCCCACCCCUUCCACUAUAACACCUGUCCGGUCUCAGCACUUCGGUCUCAGCGAACGCAGCCAGGGAAAUCGCGCAGCGGAAAUGCGUGGCUGGGAGGGAUCGAACCCAGGACCUCGGCUCUGAUACCAUGUAGGAAAGGUAGGAUGCGUAUAAUGUGGUCGAUAUAUUGCAAUGAGCCCCUUGGGCGGUAUAUAUAGGAGUACAAGGCUUGGAGGGCAAGGCACCUCCCCUAGAGAUAAGGAAGGCUAUCACGGGAUUACAUCAAUCCUAAACUACCAUAUCUGGAGUUGCCUAAUAUACUCUAACAUCUCGUGUUGAUAUUCUGAAGAUCCACUCCAGAAGAAUGAACUUGAUGCGUGACAUUGAUCUUAAAAAGAUCGCUGUGAAGAUGAAUGGAGCAUCAGGAGCAGAGCUGAAGGCUGUUUGCACAGAAGCGGGAAUGUUUGCCCUUCGCGAGAGAAGGGUGCACGUCACCCAGGAGGAUUUCGAGAUGGCAGUGGCGAAGGUGAUGAAGAAGGAUACAGAGAAGAACAUGUCCCUGCGGAAACUCUGGAAGUGAGAAGCUCACCUUUUGCCCCAUAGUCAACGCUUACAUGCCGAAACAAUUGAAGGCCUGAAGCGAAUGGCCGUGCAUUGUUGGAUUAGCUGUAGUGAGAUUUUGAAAAUGUUUGUCAAACCUGUCAAUGUCGUGUAACAGCUUUACUAGUUGAAUUUUCGCUUAUUUGUCCAUCAAAGAGGAGUGGCCGAGUGGAGAUGGAAAUCAAUUUUUUACA
RNA transcript from Panicum virgatum (switchgrass), 1898 nucleotides. It is a transcript of the gene named 26S proteasome regulatory subunit 8 homolog A-like, with no coding region annotated. The record is from RefSeq and is a predicted model, not a curated record. NCBI's taxonomy places the organism in Eukaryota, Viridiplantae, Streptophyta, Magnoliopsida, Poales, Poaceae. The transcript has 8 exons.